UACAGAGGUCCCGAGCGUUGUUCGGAUUCACUGGGCGUAAAGGGUGCGUAGGUGGCGCUGUAAGUGGGGUGUGAAAUCCCCGGGGCUUAACUCCGAAACUGCAUUCGAUACUGGCGUGCUUGAGGACUGGAGAGGAGACUGGAAUUUACGGUGUAGCAGUGAAAUGCGUAGAUAUCGUAAGGAAGACCAGUGGCGAAGGCGGGGUCUCUGGACAGUUCCUGACACUGAGACACGAAGGCCAGGGGAGCAAACGGGG
This 256-nucleotide ribosomal RNA is filed under the name uncultured bacterium. Its description in RNAcentral is "partial 16S ribosomal RNA". It matches the Rfam family "Bacterial small subunit ribosomal RNA", at positions 524 to 777 of the family's 1533-position model. The record is from RNAcentral.